This 470-nucleotide ribosomal RNA is filed under the name uncultured beta proteobacterium. Its description in RNAcentral is "bacterial SSU rRNA". It matches the Rfam family "Bacterial small subunit ribosomal RNA", at positions 931 to 1403 of the family's 1533-position model. The record is from RNAcentral. Lineage: Bacteria; Pseudomonadati; Pseudomonadota; Betaproteobacteria.
GGUGGAUGAUGUGGAUUAAUUCGAUGCUACGCGAAUAACCUUACCUACCCUUGACAUGUCACUAACGAAGUAGAGAUACGUUAGGUGCCCGUAAGGGAAAGUGAACACAGGGUGCUGCAUGGCUGUCGUCAGCUCGUGUCGUGAGAUGUUGGGUUAAGUCCCGCAACGAGCGCAACCCUUGUCUUUAGUUGCUACGCAAGAGCACUCUAAAGAGACUGCCGGUGACAAACCGGAGGAAGGUGGGGAUGACGUCAAGUCCUCAUGGCCCUUAUGGGUAGGGCUUCACACGUCAUACAAUGGUGCAUACAGAGGGUUGCCAACCCGCGAGGGGGAGCUAAUCUCAGAAAAUGCAUCGUAGUCCGGAUCGUAGUCUGCAACUCGACUACGUGAAGCUGGAAUCGCUAGUAAUCGCGGAUCAGAAUGUCGCGGUGAAUACGUUCCCGGGUCUUGUACACACCGCCCGUCAUACC